AGAUGUGUUUUUUUUUUGCUUCAUCAACCGUUUGGAUGUGGAAAUCUUUCUCAACUAGGUGGUCUACAGAGGGGCAAUAUUUGUCAAAUGUACCAGAGGUGAGGAAGGUUGUUGUUUACUUAGAAAGUCUCAAAAAGGUAAAUCAUCAGUCAGACACACGACACGGAACCUGCAAUGGAUGCAUCGUGUGGCACCCUAGUACGCGCUUAUGAGAUGUCGUGGAUCGCUAUUCAAACACAGAUUAAUUGAUUUCAAUUUCGUACUUCACGUGUUUGAUUAUUUUCAUUCAACUUUUCUUCACCAUUUCUCCCGCAUAUAGAACUCACCUGCAUUACCCACAAAUUUGACGACGGCACAAUUUGAUCUCCUACUGUAUCCAUAUAGAGCUGUGCGCGGGUGGCGAUAGGUGCGGAUAUCACUUGAUCAUCC
Long non-coding RNA from Lutzomyia longipalpis, 429 nucleotides. RefSeq lists it as uncharacterized. Lineage: Eukaryota; Metazoa; Arthropoda; Insecta; Diptera; Psychodidae. The transcript has 3 exons. The record is from RefSeq and is a predicted model, not a curated record.